GAUGAACGCUGGCGGCGUGCCUAAUACAUGCAAGUCGAGCGAACGGACGAGAAGCUUUCUUCUCUGAUGUUAGCGGCGGACGGGUGAGUAACACGUGGAUAACCUACCUAUAAGACUGGGAUAACUUCGGGAAACCGGAGCUAAUACCGGAUAAUAUUUUGAACCGCAUGGUUCAAAAGUGAAAGACGGUCUUGCUGUCACUUAUAGAUGGAUCCGCGCUGCAUUAGCUAGUUGGUAAGGUAACGGCUUACCAAGGCAACGAUGCAUAGCCGACCUGAGAGGGUGAUCGGCCACACUGGAACUGAGACACGGUCCAGACUCCUACGGGAGGCAGCAGUAGGGAAUCUUCCGCAAUGGGCGAAAGCCUGACGGAGCAACGCCGCGUGAGUGAUGAAGGUCUUCGGAUCGUAAAACUCUGUUAUUAGGGAGGAACAUAUGUGUAAGUAACUGUGCACAUCUUGACGGUACCUAAUCAGAAAGCCACGGCUAACUACGUG
This 497-nucleotide ribosomal RNA is filed under the name uncultured bacterium. RNAcentral's name for it is "partial 16S ribosomal RNA". It matches the Rfam family "Bacterial small subunit ribosomal RNA", at positions 28 to 507 of the family's 1533-position model. The record is from RNAcentral.